AAACCACUACCUCAUUUCUUCUUCUUCAUCUCCCCCACGCACAAACCCUAUCUCUUUCUAAUCUCUACUCUCCACCACACAUAAAACCCCAUAUGAUAUCUCAUUAGCCUCUUUUUUAGAUAACCUCAGUCCUUUUCUCCCCCUCUGCUUUCUUCUUUCUUUUUUCCUUGUUUUUAUUUCAAAGCAAAGAAAAUGGCUAUUCCUUGUCUUCCUCUUCUUGGUUCAGAAAAGCUGUCCAUGGAGGCAGGCCCAUUGUCUCCUCUCUCAUCACCACCCCAAGUUGUCCUCACCCAAGACGAGCUGAAAAAGAUUGCUGCUUACAAAGCCGUCGAGUUCGUCCAGUCCGGCAUGGUUCUUGGCCUCGGCACUGGCUCCACCGCCAAACACGCCGUCGACCGUAUUGCUGAUCUAUUGCGCAAAGGCAAAUUAAAGAACAUUAUUGGCAUACCCACUUCCAAAAAGACGCACCAACAAGCUUUGUCUCUCGGUAUUCCUUUAUCCGAUCUUGAUUCCCACCCCAUCGUCGAUCUAGCAAUCGACGGCGCAGAUGAAGUGGACUCCGAUCUCAAUUUGGUCAAGGGCCGAGGUGGGUCUUUACUCAGGGAGAAAAUGAUUGAAAGUGCUUGCAAAAAGUUUGUAGUUAUUGUAGAUGAGUCUAAAUUGGUAUCCCAUAUUGGAGCCAAUGGGGCGAUGCCAGUUGAGAUUGUGCCUUUCUGUUGGAAAUUCACGCAAGAAAGGCUUCAACAGUUGUUC
Molecule: unclassified non-coding RNA, 753 nt
Filed under: Hevea brasiliensis (rubber tree)
Lineage: Eukaryota; Viridiplantae; Streptophyta; Magnoliopsida; Malpighiales; Euphorbiaceae
Source: RNAcentral